RNAcentral lists this ribosomal RNA (497 nucleotides) under uncultured bacterium. Its description in RNAcentral is "partial 16S ribosomal RNA". It matches the Rfam family "Bacterial small subunit ribosomal RNA", at positions 28 to 507 of the family's 1533-position model. The record is from RNAcentral.
GAUGAACGCUGGCGGCGUGCCUAAUACAUGCAAGUCGAGCGAACAGACGAGGAGCUUGCUCCUCUGACGUUAGCGGCGGAAGUGUGAGUAACACGUGGAUAACCUACCUAUAAGACUGGGAUAGAUUCGGGAAACCGGAGCUAAUACCGGAUAAUAUAUUGAACCGCAUGGUUCAAUAGUGAAAGACGGUUUUGCUGUCACUUAUAGAUGGAUCCGCGCCGCAUUAGCUAGUUGGUAAGGUAACGGCUUACCAAGGCGACGAUGCGUAGCCGACCUGAGAGGGUGAUCGGCCACACUGGAACUGAGACACGGCCCAGACUCCUACGGGAGGCAGCAGUAGGGAAUUUUCGGCAAUGGGCGAAAGCCUGACGCAGCAACGCCGCGUGAGUGAUGAAGGCCUUCGGAUCGUAAACUUCUGUUAUAAGGGAAGAACAAAUGUGUAAUUAAAUAUAGACGUCUUGACGGUACCGUAACAGAAAGCAACGGCUAACUACGUG